UACGGAGGGUGCAAGCGUUAUCCGGAUUCACUGGGUUUAAAGGGUGCGUAGGCGGGCAGUUAAGUCCGUGGUGAAAUCUCUGAGCUUAACUCAGAAACUGCCAUGGAUACUAUCUGUCUUGAAUAUUGUGGAGGUUAGCGGAAUAUGUCAUGUAGCGGUGAAAUGCUUAGAUAUGACAUAGAACACCAAUUGCGAAGGCAGCUUACUACACAACGAUUGACGCUGAGGCACGAAAGCGUGGGGAUCAAACAGG
RNAcentral lists this ribosomal RNA (253 nucleotides) under uncultured bacterium. Its description in RNAcentral is "partial 16S ribosomal RNA". It matches the Rfam family "Bacterial small subunit ribosomal RNA", at positions 524 to 776 of the family's 1533-position model. The record is from RNAcentral.